Molecule: transfer RNA, 71 nt
Filed under: Ctenophorus scutulatus
Lineage: Eukaryota; Metazoa; Chordata; Lepidosauria; Squamata; Agamidae
Description: tRNA-Ile
Source: RNAcentral
GGAAGCGUGCCUGAACCACAAAGGGCUACUUUGAUAAAGUACUAAUGGAACCACUAACAUUCCCACUUCCC